GCCGAGCUUGGUAACGUGAUCUUGCAACUCAAGUGAGGGCGCAGAAAGUGGGUGGACUAUCUCUCGGUGUCCUUCAAGCAUGCUUGAUCUAAUGUGCCCUCUCCAAAGCCAGGAGUUCACCGUGCCCUUUAGCCGAACCCCUUUAACCGAAAGGUUGGGUGGGCACGGACCUGGAGUGGAAGAGAACGCGUAAGGCUGGCUUUGCAGAGCAGCGGUUACCUCUCGCUUUUGACAAUCGGAAAGGGUUCCAUUCCCACAUAGAGAGCCCUUUUUGCUAUUCCCCGUAAUCUCUAGGGUUGCUAUUUUU
This 307-nucleotide non-coding RNA is filed under the name Amborella trichopoda. Lineage: Eukaryota; Viridiplantae; Streptophyta; Magnoliopsida; Amborellales; Amborellaceae. The record is from RNAcentral.